Molecule: ribosomal RNA, 305 nt
Filed under: uncultured bacterium
Lineage: Bacteria
Description: partial 16S ribosomal RNA
Rfam family: Bacterial small subunit ribosomal RNA
Source: RNAcentral
ACAGCAGCAGCCGCGGUAAAACGGAGGGUGCAAGCGUUAAUCGGAAUUACUGGGCGUAAAGCGCACGCAGGCGGUCUGACAAGUCAGAUGUGAAAUCCCCGGGCUUAACCUGGGAACUGCAUUUGAAACUGUCAGGCUGGAGUCUUGUAGAGGGGGGUGGAAUUCCAGGUGUAGCGGUGAAAUGCGUAGAGAUCUGGAGGAAUACCGGUGGCGAAGGCGGCCCCCUGGACAAAGACUGACGCUCAGGUGCGAAAGCGUGGGGAGCAAACAGGAUUAGAUACCCCAGUAGUCCCUGUCUCUUAUAC